RNAcentral lists this long non-coding RNA (1892 nucleotides) under Callithrix jacchus (white-tufted-ear marmoset). RNAcentral describes it as "lncRNA (ENSCJAG00000070793.1)". The record is from RNAcentral. Lineage: Eukaryota; Metazoa; Chordata; Mammalia; Primates; Cebidae.
UAUCAACCUCUUUCUUUCCCUCCAGGACACCAAGUUCCUACAUGUCUCAUCUGGACACCAUGGGUCAGACCUUCCAAGAGACAACAAAAAUCACUGAAACCUCAUGACAGCAAGCAAGGAGGAAGGAUCCUGAAGACCCAUGAUGGCCCCUUUCAGCAGGAAGUAGAUACAGAGAAUGAAUUCUGCCCCAUCUACCAAAAGAUUUCUGGGUCCCAACUCCUUGAGGAAAAAAAUGUGAUGAAGGCAUUUAUUGUUCUGACCCUACCGUUUCUAUCCUAUGAAAAGGACCAGCUGAUCAAGGAGCUGCAGCAGCAUGUGAAGUUAGUGACAGCCCCACACAAGUACCUGACAAAGGUAAGGUGGGGCAGAUGGAAGGGAUCAGUUCCCCAAUACUCCUGCCACAUCUCUGCUAGGGUGGCCAUGCAGGAGGAAGCUUAGGCAGUCACAGUAGUGGCUUUUUUUUUCUGCGUAAGAAGCAGUUUGGCUGAGGGAUGCGGUGUAAUCUUAAGAAUAUAUUUAAGCUGACAAUUGGAAAAUGACCUAUUGAAAUCAAAGAGGCUUAUUGAUAAAUCCUAAUUUAGUUGAUUACAACAAAUAUUUCUUAAGCACUUUCUAUAUGCUGGUAAUUAUAAGGGUGUUUAAGAUAAAUCUAGUAUAAAUGCUGAACUCAGAGUGAGAAUAAAAAAUGACAAAUACAGGACAACACAUGCAACAUUAUAAACACAUGUAAUGUUCUGAAAUAACACAGAGGAGGGUAUAAUUAACUCUGCAAGUGUCAGGAGGAGGUUCAAAGAAGAGAGCAUAGAGAGUAGGGAUUUUCAAGAAGGAAAAGAAUAGAGGGGAUGUUGUGGAAAGAGGAAGAACCUCUCAAAACAAGAAAGCAGGGCUGGGCAUGGGGGCUCACACCUGUAAUCCCAACACUGUGAGAGGCUGAGGCAGGACCAUCACUUGAGCCCAGGAAUUCAAGACCAGACUGAGUAACAUGGCGAGAACCCUGUUUCUAUUUAAAUAAGUUUAAUAUUUUUAAAAAAGACAACAGAGUAAACAAGAAGCACUGAGGCAUGAGACAACAUGGCAUGCAAAAGACAGUAGAGUAGAACUAGUAACAUAAUUUCUAAUAUCUCCAACUGAUAAAAGUAGCAUGCAGCCCCUAAAACUGACAUUAGAAAGUGAAUUUAGUGACUUCAGUCUUUGGUGAAAAUUCCUAGUAUAUAAAAUGAAACUGAUGAGAAAAGCCCUUGGUUCCCAUGCUGGGGGAAUAGGGAACUGGUGAAGGGCUCAAUAUCAGAGGAUCUGUAAUUUGAAGAAAUCACUCUGUUGGUAACCUGGAGGUUGAAUUUGAGUAGAAUGAGACUGGAGGCAGGAGGAAGGCAGUAGCAGUGGAGGUGAAGGAAAAAUAUAAAUAGAACUUGGCCACUAAUUAGAAAAGGUGAGAGGAGGGAACAAAGAGAGGGAAACGUGGGAUCAUGACCAGAUUUCAGGAUGGAACAUGGAACAGGACAAAUGGCAGAAGCAUCCAAUAUUGAAAAUACAGUCACAGGGGCCUACUUUAGUGGAGGGAGGUGAUAGUGUAUUCUAGGACAGGAUGGGCUUGAGAUUUCUUGACAUAUCUGUGUGGAAAAGUCUUGGAAGCAUGAAGAUAUACCAGAGCUCAGCGAGGGCAAGAAGACAGUGAGUGUGGAGUCAUCAGCUUGCAGGUGAUGGCUGAAGCCAUUCUCCCACUUCAGGAGAGAAGCACCUGAGCAAAGAGCUGAGACUCCUGGAGAACAGCAACAUUCUCAAGUGAGCUAAAAGAAUUCAGAGGAGGGCCAGAGAAAAAAUUAAAUGGAAGAAUGUGCUGUGAAGAUAGCACUGUGAUUCAGGCUUGAUCUUUGGAGGCCAGCUGCCUUAAU